Molecule: transfer RNA, 56 nt
Filed under: Marmota marmota marmota (Alpine marmot)
Lineage: Eukaryota; Metazoa; Chordata; Mammalia; Rodentia; Sciuridae
Also listed under: 3 other names
Rfam family: tRNA
About the family: Transfer RNA (tRNA) molecules are approximately 80 nucleotides in length. Their secondary structure includes four short double-helical elements and three loops (D, anti-codon, and T loops). Further hydrogen bonds mediate the characteristic L-shaped molecular structure. tRNAs have two regions of fundamental functional importance: the anti-codon, which is responsible for specific mRNA codon recognition, and the 3' end, to which the tRNAs corresponding amino acid is attached (by aminoacyl-tRNA synthetases). tRNAs cope with the degeneracy of the genetic code in two manners: having more than one tRNA (with a specific anti-codon) for a particular amino acid; and 'wobble' base-pairing, i.e. permitting non-standard base-pairing at the 3rd anti-codon position.
Source: Rfam by way of RNAcentral
AGCUCAGUAGUAGAGUGCUUGCUUAGCAUGCAUGAGGCCCUGGGUUUGAUCCCCAG